Nothoprocta perdicaria is the source of this 464-nucleotide long non-coding RNA. RefSeq lists it as uncharacterized. NCBI's taxonomy places the organism in Eukaryota, Metazoa, Chordata, Aves, Tinamiformes, Tinamidae. The record is from RefSeq and is a predicted model, not a curated record. The transcript has 2 exons.
ACAGAAGAUCUCUGUCACAGAGCAGGUUCCAAGAGGAUUUUUUUAAUGAAAGAAGUGUUUUCACUUCCUAAUCACUCUGCAGUCACUUAUUGACUAAAGAACUUCAGACUAUGUAGACUUUAGAGGACUGAUACGAAGACUCACAGAAAAGUUUUCACAAGACCUGAAGUAUGAAUUGUAAUGAGAACAUAAAUAGUUCCUUUCCAAAGUGCACACAGAGGGAAAAAAGAUCAUGUGUCUCGGCAUCAAUCAAGACAAGUAACACUUUUUUACAUCUCAACAGCGAUCUGUCUAAGCUCUGCUUUACAUGUAUUCCUUUGAAGACUAUGGAAUUUGGARGUUUCAAAAUCAGAGUAAAAAUCUGUCUAUUAAACUGUCAGCCUCCUCUCAAAAAAUAAGGAGCUUAUUUUCGCUAGACACUGCACUCACUUUUUUGAAUUAAGUUUUAGAAGAAGAAAUUCACA